CAGCACCUCAAGUGGUCAGGAUGAUUAUUGGGCCUAAAGCAUCCGUAGCCGGUUCUACAAGUCUUCCGUUAAAUCCACCUGCUUAACAGAUGGGCCGCGGAGGAUACUAUAAGACUAGGAGGCAGGAGAGGCAAGCGGUACUCAGUGGGUAGGGGUAAAAUCCGUUGAUCCAUUGAAGACCACCAGUGGCGAAGGCGGCUUGCCAGAAUGCGCUCGACGGUGAGGGAUGAAAGCUGGGGGAGCAAACCGGAUUAGAUACCCGAGUAGUCC
RNAcentral lists this ribosomal RNA (270 nucleotides) under uncultured archaeon. RNAcentral's name for it is "partial 16S ribosomal RNA". It matches the Rfam family "Archaeal small subunit ribosomal RNA", at positions 477 to 747 of the family's 1478-position model. The record is from RNAcentral.